UGGUGGCGAGCGGCGGACGGGUGAGUAAUGCCUAGGAAUCUGCCUGGUAGUGGGGGAUAACGCUCGGAAACGGACGCUAAUACCGCAUACGUCCUACGGGAGAAAGCAGGGGACCUUCGGGCCUUGCGCUAUCAGAUGAGCCUAGGUCGGAUUAGCUAGUUGGUGAGGUAAUGGCUCACCAAGGCGACGAUCCGUAACUGGUCUGAGAGGAUGAUCAGUCACACUGGAACUGAGACACGGUCCAGACUCCUACGGGAGGCAGCAGUGGGGAAUAUUGGACAAUGGGCGAAAGCCUGAUCCAGCCAUGCCGCGUGUGUGAAGAAGGUCUUCGGAUUGUAAAGCACUUUAAGUUGGGAGGAAGGGCAUUUACCUAAUACGUAAGUGUUUUGACGUUACCGACAGAAUAAGCACCGGCUAACUCUGUGCCAGCAGCCGCGGUAAUACAGAGGGU
Molecule: ribosomal RNA, 451 nt
Filed under: bacterium SA015
Lineage: Bacteria
Description: bacterial SSU rRNA
Rfam family: Bacterial small subunit ribosomal RNA
Source: RNAcentral